Molecule: ribosomal RNA, 553 nt
Filed under: uncultured Aestuariibacter sp.
Lineage: Bacteria; Pseudomonadati; Pseudomonadota; Gammaproteobacteria; Alteromonadales; Alteromonadaceae
Description: bacterial SSU rRNA
Rfam family: Bacterial small subunit ribosomal RNA
Source: RNAcentral
CUAGCUUGCUAGUUGCUGACGAGUGGCGGACGGGUGAGUAAUACUUAGGGAUCUGCCUCUGUGUGGGGGAUAACUAUUGGAAACGAUAGCUAAUACCGCAUAACGUCUACGGACCAAAGAGGGCUUCGGCUCUCGCGCAGAGAGGAACCUAAGCGAGAUUAGCUUGUUGGUGAGGUAAAGGCUCACCAAGGCGACGAUCUCUAGCUGUUCUGAGAGGAAGAUCAGCCACACUGGAACUGAGACACGGUCCAGACUCCUACGGGAGGCAGCAGUGGGGAAUAUUGCACAAUGGGGGCAACCCUGAUGCAGCCAUGCCGCGUGUGUGAAGAAGGCCUUCGGGUUGUAAAGCACUUUCAGUUGUGAGGAAAGGUUAGUAGUUAAUACCUGCUAGCUGUGACGUUAACAACAGAAGAAGCACCGGCUAACUCCGUGCCAGCAGCCGCGGUAAUACGGAGGGUGCGAGCGUUAAUCGGAAUUACUGGGCGUAAAGCGCACGCAGGCGGUCUGUUAAGCUAGAUGUGAAAGCCCCGCGCUCAACGUGGGAGGGUCAUUU